This 218-nucleotide ribosomal RNA is filed under the name uncultured bacterium. RNAcentral describes it as "partial 16S ribosomal RNA". It matches the Rfam family "Bacterial small subunit ribosomal RNA", at positions 524 to 741 of the family's 1533-position model. The record is from RNAcentral.
UACGUAGGGUGCGAGCGUUAAUCGGAAUUACUGGGCGUAAAGUGUGCGCAGGCGGCAGAGCAAGUCGAGUGUGAAAGCCCCGGGCUUAACUUGGGAAUUGCGCUCGAAACUACUUUGCUGGAGUGUGGCAGAGGAAGGUGGAAUUCCACGUGUAGCGGUGAAAUGCGUAGAGAUGUGGAGGAAUACCGAUGGCGAAGGCAGCCCCCUGGGAUAACAUG